UACGUAGGCAGCGAGCGUUGUUCGGAGUUACUGGGCGUAAAGGGUGUGUAGGCGGUUCUUUAAGUUUGGUGUGAAAUCUCCCGGCUCAACCGGGAGGGUGCGCCGAAUACUGAGGGACUAGAGUGCGGGAGAGGAAAGUGGAAUUCCUGGUGUAGUGGUGAAAUGCGUAGAUAUCAGGAGGAACACCGGUGGUGUAGACGGCUUUCUGGACCGUAACUGACGCUGAGACACGAAAGCGUGGGUAGCAAACAGG
This 253-nucleotide ribosomal RNA is filed under the name uncultured bacterium. RNAcentral's name for it is "partial 16S ribosomal RNA". It matches the Rfam family "Bacterial small subunit ribosomal RNA", at positions 524 to 776 of the family's 1533-position model. The record is from RNAcentral.